UGAAGCAUCUGCACCCUCC
RNAcentral lists this non-coding RNA (19 nucleotides) under Mus musculus (house mouse). Lineage: Eukaryota; Metazoa; Chordata; Mammalia; Rodentia; Muridae. The record is from RNAcentral.